This 497-nucleotide ribosomal RNA is filed under the name uncultured bacterium. RNAcentral describes it as "partial 16S ribosomal RNA". It matches the Rfam family "Bacterial small subunit ribosomal RNA", at positions 28 to 507 of the family's 1533-position model. The record is from RNAcentral.
GAUGAACGCUGGCGGCGUGCCUAAUACAUGCGAGUCGAGCGAACAGACGAGGAGCUUGCUCCUCUGACGUUAGCGGCGGACGGGUGUGUAACACGUGGAUAACCUACCUAUAAGACUGGGAUAACUUCGGGAAACCGGAGCUAAUACCGGAUAAUAUAUUGAACCGCAUGGUUCAAUAGUGAAAGACGGUUUUGCUGUCACUUAUAGAUGGAUCCGCGCCGCAUUAGCUAGUUGGUAAGUUAACGGCUUACCAAGGCAACCAUGCGUAGACGACCGGUGAGGGGGAUAGGCGCCCCGAGAAGGUGGACGGCGACCAUAGGCCUGCGGGAGGCAGCAGAAGGGAACCUUACGCAGUAGGCGAAAGUAUGACGGAGCGGGGGGGCGUGAGUGAUGGAAAUGUUCGGUUCGGGAAACUCUGUUAUGGGGGAAGAACAGAUGUGUAAGUAGCUGUGGACGGCUUGACGGUACCUGAUCAAAAAGCAACGGCUAACUACGUG